AGGUAUCUAUGCCAUCCCAAGAGUCGUAAACCAUUGUGAUAUCAGAGGUAACUCAACCAAUCACUAGUCUUACUCUGCAGAUAAUUUGCAUACAGCAGUUGUAUUGGUUCUGUGAGGCACGCUGCGCUGGUGGACUACUUGGCCUGAUUGCCACACCCAAGAAACAGCAAGGGCUUUCAGUUACCAAUAUAAUUAUUAACUACAUACAUAUGUUUAAUGUUUAAAGUUGCAAGAUCAAGCACGAAAAGGUUGCUGACACGAUGCUGAACGUGAUGUGUCUUGAUAUGUCAUAAAGUUGAGCGAGUGAAAGGAGAUGACCAAGGAAGAACUCUUUGUGAGACUUGAAACGCAGACUAAUUGUAUGGCGGUUGAAAGCGAAUAGUGUCACUUAUGCUGGGGUACAUAUGAAGACUCUUUAGCACAAGGCAUUUCUUUGGAGUAGGACAAGAGCAAGUGAUGUGAUUAGCCAACUGGAAACUACAAACCUACUUCAACUGUUUCCUCCAAACUGGGACCAGUCGGCACUGCCUGACAUAGGGCACACGGCACAGAAUUGGUGUAUGCUGCUCUCCCUCAGAACAAAUCACAGGAGUUGCCUGGGCAUGAUGCCAGAUAUACAAGGGCUGCAUGUUGCAAAUGCACUUCCUAGCCCCUUUGCCAGCAUGAGUCUGACCUGGUGGAUUUCAUAGCAGUUGUGAUUUUUAACAUCUUGUUUAUAUAAAUGAA
This is a long non-coding RNA of Pelodiscus sinensis (Chinese soft-shelled turtle), 726 nucleotides long. RefSeq lists it as uncharacterized. Lineage: Eukaryota; Metazoa; Chordata; Testudines; Trionychidae. The record is from RefSeq and is a predicted model, not a curated record.